AGAGUUUGAUCCUGGCUCAGAUUGAACGCUGGUUAACACAGUCGUACGAAGGAGCUUGCUCCUUAGUGGCGAACGGGUGAGUAAUACAUAAAUAAUCUGCCCCAACGACUGGGAUAACUAUUGGAAACGAUAGCUAAUACCGGAUAGGUGAUCGGAAGACAUCUUCUGAUCAUUAAAGGUGCGUUCGCACGAUGGGAUGAGUUUAUGGCGCAUUAGUUAGUUGGCGGGGUAACGGCCCACCAAGACGAUGAUGCGUAGCCGAUCUGAGAGGAUGACCGGCCACACUGGGACUGAGACACGGCCCAGACUCCUACGGGAGGCAGCAGUAGGGAAUUUUCGGCAAUGGGCGAAAGCCUGACCGAGCAACGCCGCGUGAGUGAUGAAGGCCUUCGGGUUGUAAAGCUCUGUUGUAGAGGAAGAAAUGCCAGGAUAGGAAAUGAUCUUGGCUUGACGGUACUCUGCCAGAAAGCAACGGCUAACUACGUGCCAGCAGCCGCGGUAAUACGUAGGUUGCAAGCGUUAUCCGGAAUUAUUGGGCGUAAAGGGUGCGUAGGCGGUUACGUGUGUCUAAGGUGAAAUUCCAGGGCUUAACUCUGGACUGCCUUAGAAACUGCGUGACUAGAGUGCAGGAGAGGGCAACGGAAUUCCAUGUGUAGCGGUAAAAUGCGUAGAUAUAUGGAGGAACACCGGUGGCGAAGGCGGUUGCCUGGCCUGUAACUGACGCUGAGGCACGAAAGCGUGGGGAGCAAAUAGGAUUAGAUACCCUAGUAGUCCACGCUGUAAACGAUGAAUGCUAAGUGUUGGAGUAAAAUUCAGUGCUGCAGUUAACGCAAUAAGCAUUCCGCCUGGGGAGUACGCACGCAAGUGUGAAACUCAAAGGAAUUGACGGGACCCCGCACAAGCGGUGGAUUAUGUUGUUUAUUCGACGCAACGCGAGA
RNAcentral lists this ribosomal RNA (938 nucleotides) under uncultured bacterium. RNAcentral describes it as "bacterial SSU rRNA". It matches the Rfam family "Bacterial small subunit ribosomal RNA", at positions 8 to 966 of the family's 1533-position model. The record is from RNAcentral.